This 445-nucleotide ribosomal RNA is filed under the name uncultured bacterium. RNAcentral describes it as "partial 16S ribosomal RNA". It matches the Rfam family "Bacterial small subunit ribosomal RNA", at positions 354 to 796 of the family's 1533-position model. The record is from RNAcentral.
GUAAGGAAUAUUGGUCAAUGGUUGCAACUCUGAACCAGCCAUGCCGCGUGCAGGAAGACGGCCCUCUGGGUUGUAAACUGCUUUUAUCCGGGAAUAAACCUGCCUUCGUGAAGGUAGCUGAAUGUACCGGAAGAAUAAGGAUCGGCUAACUCCGUGCCAGCAGCCGCGGUAAUACGGAGGAUCCAAGCGUUAUCCGGAUUUAUUGGGUUUAAAGGGUGCGUAGGCGGCCUGUUAAGUAAGGGGUGAAAGACGGUGGCUCAACCAUCGCAGUGCCCUUGAUACUGAUGGGCUUGAAUGGACUAGAGGUAGGCAGAAUGUGACAAGUAGCGGUGAAAUGCAUAGAUAUGUCACAGAACACCGAUUGCGAAGGCAGCUUACUAUGGUCCUAUUGACGCUGAGGCACGUAAGCGUGUGGAUCGAACAGGAUUAGAUACCCUAGUAGUCC